RNAcentral lists this transfer RNA (73 nucleotides) under Candidatus Woesearchaeota archaeon. RNAcentral's name for it is "tRNA-Gln". It matches the Rfam family "tRNA". From Rfam's summary of the family: Transfer RNA (tRNA) molecules are approximately 80 nucleotides in length. Lineage: Archaea; Nanobdellati; Candidatus Woesearchaeota. The record is from RNAcentral.
AGCCCCGUCGUCUAGUGGCCAAGGAUAGUGGCCUUUGGAGCCAUUGACCGAGGUUCGAAUCCUCGCGGGGCUA